RNAcentral lists this ribosomal RNA (507 nucleotides) under uncultured bacterium. RNAcentral's name for it is "bacterial SSU rRNA". It matches the Rfam family "Bacterial small subunit ribosomal RNA", at positions 36 to 507 of the family's 1533-position model. The record is from RNAcentral.
CGACUGGCGGCGUGCCUAAUACAUGCAAGUCGAGCGAGCGGAACCAACAGAUUUACUUCGGUAAUGACGUUGGGAAAGCGAGCGGCGGAUGGGUGAGUAACACGUGGGGAACCUGCCCCUAAGUCUGGGAUACCAUUUGGAAACAGGUGCUAAUACCGGAUAAUAAAGCAGAUCGCAUGAUCAGCUUUUGAAAGGCGGCGUAAGCUGUCGCUAAGGGAUGGCCCCGCGGUGCAUUAGCUAGUUGGUAAGGUAACGGCUUACCAAGGCGACGAUGCAUAGCCGAGUUGAGAGACUGAUCGGCCACAUUGGGACUGAGACACGGCCCAAACUCCUACGGGAGGCAGCAGUAGGGAAUCUUCCACAAUGGACGCAAGUCUGAUGGAGCAACGCCGCGUGAGUGAAGAAGGUUUUCGGAUCGUAAAGCUCUGUUGUUGGUGAAGAAGGAUAGAGGUAGUAACUGGCCUUUAUUUGACGGUAAUCAACCAGAAAGUCACGGCUAACUACGUG